RNAcentral lists this ribosomal RNA (467 nucleotides) under uncultured bacterium. RNAcentral describes it as "partial 16S ribosomal RNA". It matches the Rfam family "Bacterial small subunit ribosomal RNA", at positions 29 to 507 of the family's 1533-position model. The record is from RNAcentral.
ACGAACGCUGGCGGCGUGCUUAACACCUGCAAGUCGAACGGAAAGGCCCUGCUUUUGUGGGGUGCUCGAGUGGCGAACGGGUGAGUAACACGUGAGUAACCUGCCCUUGACUUUGGGAUAACUUCAGGAAACUGGGGCUAAUACCGGAUAGGGGCUCCUGCUGCAUGGUGGGGGUUGGAAAGUUUCGGCGGUUGGGGAUGGACUCGCGGCUUAUCAGCUUGUUGGUGGGGUAGUGGCUUACCAAGGCUUUGACGGGUAGCCGGCCUGAGAGGGUGACCGGCCACAUUGGGACUGAGAUACGGCCCAGACUCCUACGGGAGGCAGCAGUGGGGAAUAUUGCACAAUGGGCGGAAGCCUGAUGCAGCAACGCCGCGUGCGGGAUGACGGCCUUCGGGUUGUAAACCGCUUUCGCCUGUGACGAAGCGUGAGUGACGGUAAUGGGUAAAGAAGCACCGGCUAACUACGUG